Molecule: long non-coding RNA, 5355 nt
Filed under: Sus scrofa (pig)
Lineage: Eukaryota; Metazoa; Chordata; Mammalia; Artiodactyla; Suidae
Description: lncRNA (ENSSSCG00000055798.1)
Source: RNAcentral
AAAUGUUUAUUUAUAUCAAAAUACAAAACAUUUCUGAAGCAGAGUAAUGUUACAUGAGAAGCAAUUAAAUCCUAAUCUUUUUUAAUAGUUUAACUUGCAACACUCCCAGCAUACCUUCACUGGCUACACAUCUUGUCUCCUGAUGUGCCCUUUUUUCUCCCUUUGCUUGUUUGCCCAUAUCCGUGUUGGCUUGUUUUGCUCUUUAACUUACUAUAUGAACAUGCAGUGUUACUGGCGAUGCAUUGGUUAGUAUCUGGCAAGCCUGGAAAUGCCAGCGAGGGGAGCCUGGCACAGUGCCUUGAGCCAAGGCUGGCCACAGGUCCUCUCCUAACUGGGUUUGGGCUGUCACUCAGCUUUCAACUGGCAAGAGUCUAAGGCCAAAGGUUACUGUCUGUGGUAGGCAGGGCAGGCGUUAUUGCUUAGGCCACAGAGCAAGUGUGGCUGAGGGGCACCUCCAGCCAGGUCUUCUUGGUGGAUUGGGAAGGAAAAGGUUGGACAGCCUGGAGGGGUGGCAGCUAGAACAGGCCUAGGCCCUGGACCGGAGGUCAGGGGGCCCUGCAGGAGGAACUCCCUCUCCAGAAAAGCAAGCAGGAUGUGGGGAGGAGAAAAGUUCCUCCCUAUCCUGACAGUCUGUAAUUUGGUGGUUGAAAGUGCCUGUCUCUUGGACAGGCCCUUUGUAAGUGCUUAGACUUUGGAGAUUUUGAAAGCACCUGGUUGAGAGUGUAGCUGUUUCCAUAAACCUCCAUCCCAUGACAGGAAAAGGAAGGAGACAGGAAACAGAGGAGGACACCCUCCCCUCUCAUUACAACCAGCCCACUCCCAGAGCCAGCUGGGCCUCCCCUUCAGGCCCCCAGUUGGUGCAUCCACUUUGGCACUGUGCACCUGUGGCACACCCACACAUGUGUACAUACACCUCAGCCCCUACACAGUGCACACACACGCACACAUGCACACACACACGCACACACACACUCAUGCCUGGUGUCUUUCCUGAAUCCACUCAGGAAACAGAACUGUGUCCCAUCUUAUCAUCAUCCUCUGUUCCAAGGGGUCUCCCUGGCCCACAGGUCCCCAGACCCAGCCCCAGGCUUGGCACAUGCUGGCAUUCCCAGGCUUUUGAAAAGAGGUGACAGAGCAGGGCGCUCACCAGAGACAGGUUGUACAGAGUGUAGAAUAUGUUCAUAUAAGGCUUUGGUACAGCACCGAUUAAAUGUUCUUAUCAUUUGAGUUCUAAGUUGUCUCUUAGAAGAAAAAAAAAAAGCUUACUGAAAAAAUAGUGUUUUUAUUUACUUUUGAGUUACAUACCUGAAGUUCAAAAAGUAAGCCUCUAGUUGCCAUUCAGAUUCACACUCAAAGGUGUUUGUGUGCAGCUGUACAAUUUGUUGGUUUGUCUUUAAUAGUUAACCAAAGUCAGCCAACCAAUACCAUGAAGUCAGCUGCCCAUGAUAACUGACUUUAGCCAGUCCAUACAUACAGAAGAAAGAGAACACAAAAGCCACCCCUGCGUCUCCCACCCCAAACCCCGAGGGGAAAAAAUCAAAUAGAAGACAAAAUACAGCAAGAUUGAAGGAACCAGUGGGACAAAGGAGGUUCAGUCCAGCUGGCCUCUUCAAGAACAGCACCAUAAAGCACCCUAGCGCAGUUACGUUGUAGUACUCGACAUUCAAGAAAUGGAGACGAGGUUUGGAAGGUCUCACAAGAAGACCAGGCAUGGAUGGGGGCAACCCCCAAAGAAAGUUAAAGAAGAAAAAAAGUUUGCCAUGAGAGCAAGAACUCCCACAACCAAACUGAGGGUCAUACCCAGAUCCCUCAGAAAAGAGCUAAUCCAAGAGGCCGCUAGGCAUCCAGAGGUACGGAGCCAACGGGGCCUUGGGAAGUGGCAUCAGACCCCUCCCAGCCCACCCUCUGUAUGUCUACAGACCACUGGGUGAAAUGGGAAAAAAAAAUCCAUACACAUUGCUUCCAAGAUGUGAGAUGGAAGAAUUAUACCCAGGGUGAUAAAGUCUCUCCAGUAGAAGAGAAAAAGUUGGAGACAAGCGGAACUGGGUGGCACUGACAUGAAGCUGAUGGACUCCUUCCAGGUCAGUGGCUGCAGAAAAGAAGGAGCAACUGGUGAAAGCACACCCAUCUGCACCCUCUAUCUCUGGCCCCACAGAUGGUAAUUCAGAAAGGAAAUCUGAAUGAGGCAUUUAGACCUUUUAAGAUCGAUGUAUGUGGCUUGGCAAGUGGAGCUUUAAGCUGCUAUUCUUCCCUAAACCAGCGAAUGAGUCUAAGGUCCCAGCGAUCAAGACCACUGCACAGAGCAUCCCCUCUCUAAGCCCUGGCACAGCAGCACAGAAGAGAUUCCCAUGUGCCAGUAUCAGGGCCAGUCCCUUAGGGGCAGGGAGUGUGCUAUGUGGGUUCUCCUGUUCUCCCACCUCCUGCUCUGAUGUUGCCCAGAAUGGGUUAACAUGAACACCUACAUCAAAGAGGAGUGGAAGGGCCAAAGAGCAAUGGACAGACCCCUCUUCCCCAAGUCACUGCUUGAUGACCAAUGGGAAAUGUUAUGGCCCACAUUGAUCCUUGGGUGAGCAGCUUGCAGUGAAUCUGUCUACUCCAAACUCUUGUUCCAUAGAGCAGAGGUAGCAAAACUGAAACAACUCUAUAGACCCCACCACCACCACCUACCAAAAGGGGAAAGCACCAAAAGUCAACAUCCCUUCCACCACAGUGGGAACGAGGAGUGUGGCACAAACACAUGGGACAGCUCCUGUUCCUGAUAGUAGCUACGGGCCUCUAAGACCUAAUCAGAGCACCCGUCCCACCAACCUAUCCCAUUAACUGAGAAGUUCAAAGGUAGGAAGUUGUGCUUACCCCACAUAUAAUCAGAUCUCAAUGCAUUUUUGUCUGCAAAAGGCUGGCUCUUCAGAGAAACUGAAGUUCUUGGCUGGGCUGUCUGUCCUUUCGUGCCAGUGUCUACCCUUUCACCGUCCUUCUGGGGCUAAGAACCAGGAUCAUGGAAAGGGUAGAGAUAAACAUUACAUCCCCUCCAGACUCCAGAAUUUCAAGAUAGGAGCUAUGCCCCUUGUUCACUUUUCUUCCCAUAGAUGAAGAGUCCAGUUGGAGGUUGAAGGAUGGGAUGGGGAUGCAUGGGUCAGUGACUCUUGCUCUUGUAUAACUUGAUGCUAGAGACCAAGCCUGGGGUUUCAUGUGGAAAGAAGCAGAGUUUUAGAGUAACCCCAGACCUAGGAGGAGUACGACCCUAUGAGGGCCCUAUGAUGCUAAGGUGAUUUAUCCUGCAGUUUGUAUGGUACCACAAAUGGGACAGGGUCUGUGGAGAGAGAGGGUCACUCUAAGAGCCAAAAUAAUGGUAAUGGAAAGCCCUCUUGGUGUGGAGGCUUUGGCAGUUUGGAAGAGGCGGCAAGCUAGGAAGGGCUAUUGAAUGUGCUGCUUUUCCUCUUGAUCAACCUCCCUGAAAAAUCAUAUAAGAAACUUCUGGCUGUAUGCUCCUUCGGCCUCCUGAGAAGACCAUAGGAAAGUGGAGUCACCUGCCAAGGACAGACACAUGCCAGUUGGACCCAGUGUUGGAGCUCUCCCAGUAAUGCAUGGACAGAGCCCAUUUUCCUUCAGUGUCCUUGGGAAAUGGGAACUGUCUCGAGCAGGUGUGCCAGGGACUCAAUGACUGUCCCCACAGAAGGGUCAGGAGUCAAACUUAAGCUCCGCCCCCACCUACUUUGUGCAUAAUACCCCAAACUGUAAAAAGCCCUCCUAUGGCUGAGGUAUCCAAAAGCCAGCAUGACACUCUGGUUGGGAAGGAGGAGUUAGUGUUGCCUUUUUUCAGUUGACCAGCAGGAUGCAGACAGAGGGAUUGCAGCCACAAGUCUCUCCUGGCUGCCUGCACUAUCUGGCCCUGCGCCAGCUUCAGACACAUCACUCUGAGCUCUUAGCAAGUCAGAGAAAGAGCUAGCACCCAGAGGCAAUUGUUGAGGCCACAAGGUACAUGGUCCUUGCAGCAUAUGUGAGGUCUUAAGUUCUCAGAGAGGUAUUCUUCAGGGCACACAAGGUUUCCUGCUCAAAUGCAAGUGAGCACCUACUCCCCAGAAUCUCCAGCUCUGGGUCAAGCCCUUCCAACACACUGUUGAGCUCUAGAUGUCCCAGGCCAGGUACCAGAAGGAGUUCCACCGGCCCCAUGGUUCUCAUCACACCUUGAGUUCUCCUCUCAUUCCUCCUCCUCCACCCAGUACCCCAGGAUUGGACCAUUCCAAUGCCACCUACUUUCCAAUUAAAAUAAUAACUGGAAAAAGCAUCUAUGAUAUGAUUAUACCAGAUAUCACAUCCACACUGGUUCCAAGAAUCUGCAGCAAAAAUGACCAAGUUGUUUUUCAAGACUGAGUCCAUGCAGUCAGCCUCACAAAAUUCUUUUGAGAUGCCACACCCCUCAGGGGUGCUCCAGUCAGGGUGUUGCCAGCCAGGACAGGUGCUGCUGUCGGCCCCCAGGUAAACUUUCCUUUCAGUGAUGCCAAGCCAGAGCCCUUCCAAGGGCCUGGGCACCACCCCAGCAGUACUAGGACGGACUCAGAGUAUUUAGCUCUCCACACUCACUAUACGAAGCACAUGUGCCAAAGCUUUCAAGCCAUGGUGUCCCCUCCCAGUGACAAGAGAUGCCAUGAAUCCUGGCUCUCCAGGGCUAUCAGAUCCAGUAGCACCCACAACCCUUGGCUCAUUUGUCCUUUCUAUAAGAGGAUUGUUUGUUACUUUUUAAAAUUUUCAUAUAUACACAUAGCACAUCACAAACACACCUUACCACAAACAUACCAUACCAUACACACCACAAACACACCAUACACACACACCAUGCAGACGUCACAUACCAUAGGCAUGUUCACUGGCAUAGACACACACACUUUCUUCCUGAGCCCAGGAAAGGAAAAUGGGAUAGACAGCUAGCUAGGGCUAGAGACCAGGGAGAUAGCCUGGUGACCAUAGAGGGACAGGUGAGACAGUCCCACUUCUUUGCCCAAGCCAGGACACUGUCUGCUCAUGACAGACCCCUAAUGGUUUGCAGUAGGCAAUAAAAAUAUUCAUUGAGAGUGAUUGAUAAUUUCCCUUCCACAGACUGCAAGAUGAUCACAAGGAGGUCUAUUCUCCAUGCCAGGAACAAGAUCUCUCAAAUGCCUUAAGCCAGGAGGAAGCAAAAGCCUCUAAGCCCUCAUUACCAAUACGAGGAGAGUUGGCAUUUGCCCCUUCCUUCUAUGUAUGUGAAAACCCCAUACAUCAUCCAGAAGCAAGCUCGCAGUCUUUCUAAGACUGAAAAUGCAACCCCUCUCUCCUCAGCCCAAGCCCCUUCCAGGUUCCCCUUCCCACCCAACCACUCUC